GGGACGGUAGCUCAUGGGUCGAGCGGUAGCGGACAACCGCUGCAGGCAGGCAGGUUCAACUCCUGUACGUCCCACCA
This 77-nucleotide transfer RNA is filed under the name Ralstonia pickettii. RNAcentral's name for it is "tRNA-OTHER". Lineage: Bacteria; Pseudomonadati; Pseudomonadota; Betaproteobacteria; Burkholderiales; Burkholderiaceae. The record is from RNAcentral. RNAcentral also lists the same sequence under 3 other names.